This 54-nucleotide transfer RNA is filed under the name Centrorhynchus clitorideus. RNAcentral describes it as "tRNA-Glu". Lineage: Eukaryota; Metazoa; Acanthocephala; Palaeacanthocephala; Polymorphida; Centrorhynchidae. The record is from RNAcentral.
CUUAUCGUGGUGUUGGGCAUUUAAUUUUUUCGUAAUUGAGGGGGGAUAAGUUGU